GAGAGCCUGAACCAGCCAAGUAGCGUGCAGGAAGACGGCCCUAUGGGUUGUAAACUGCUUUUGAAGGGGAAUAAAGGGGUCUACGUGUAGAUCUUUGCAUGUACCUUUCGAAUAAGGAUCGGCUAACUCCGUGCCAGCAGCCGCGGUAAUA
Molecule: ribosomal RNA, 151 nt
Filed under: uncultured bacterium
Lineage: Bacteria
Description: partial 16S ribosomal RNA
Rfam family: Bacterial small subunit ribosomal RNA
Source: RNAcentral